This 295-nucleotide unclassified non-coding RNA is filed under the name Ascomycota sp. RNAcentral's name for it is "partial contains small subunit ribosomal RNA, internal transcribed spacer 1, and 5.8S ribosomal RNA". The stretch from base 1 to 47 matches the Rfam family "Eukaryotic small subunit ribosomal RNA", at positions 1785 to 1831 of the family's 1831-position model. The record is from RNAcentral. Lineage: Eukaryota; Fungi; Ascomycota.
AAAGUCGUAACAAGGUUUCCGUAGGUGAACCUGCGGAAGGAUCAUUAAGAUAUUAAAGUUGUGCAUGGCGGUCCAAGGCAAUUGCCAGACCGCGGCCUAGACGCAACACCCUCUGCGUAUCUACCGCGUUGCUUUGGCGGGACGGCAGCCAACAGCUCUGCUGGGAACCUGUCCGCAGGGCCCCUCAAGGCCCCGUGAGUGCCCGCCAGAGGACCAUCAAACUCGUGUUAAACCGUGAUGUAUGAGCUUUACAAGCAAUAAGUUAAAACUUUCAACAACGGAUCUCUUGGUUCUC